RNAcentral lists this ribosomal RNA (441 nucleotides) under uncultured bacterium. RNAcentral describes it as "partial 16S ribosomal RNA". It matches the Rfam family "Bacterial small subunit ribosomal RNA", at positions 338 to 795 of the family's 1533-position model. The record is from RNAcentral.
CCUACGGGUGGCAGCAGUGGGGAAUAUUGCACAAUGGGGGAAACCCUGAUGCAGCGACGCCGCGUGAGUGAAGAAGUAUUUCGGUAUGUAAAGCUCUAUCAGCAGGAACGAGACAAGACGGUACCUGACUAAGAAGCCCCGGCUAACUACGUGCCAGCAGCCGCGGUAAUACGUAGGGGGCAAGCGUUAUCCGGAAUCACUGGGUGUGAAGGGAGCGUAAACGGCUGAGAAAGCCUGAAGUGAAAGGGGGGGGCCCAACCCCCGAACUGCUUUGGGAAAUGGCCGGCUUGAGUGCAGGAGAGGUAAGUGGAAUUCCUAGUGGAGCGGUGAAAUGCGUAGAUAUUAGGAGGAACACCAGUGGCGAAGGCGGCUUACUGGACUGUAACUGACGUUGAGGCUCGAAAGCGUGGGGAGCAAACAGGAGUAGAGACCCUUGUAGUC